Ribosomal RNA from Gorilla gorilla gorilla (western lowland gorilla), 118 nucleotides. NCBI's taxonomy places the organism in Eukaryota, Metazoa, Chordata, Mammalia, Primates, Hominidae. The record is from Ensembl.
GUCUACAGCCUCACCACCCCGAACGUGCCUGAUCUCACCUGCUCUCAGAAGCUAAGCAGGGUUAGGCCUAUUAGUACUUGCAUGGUAGACUGCCUGGAAAUAGCAGGUGCUAUAGAUU